UUUACAUUCCCAUUUUCAUUAAGCAUCCAAGAGAAGUCCACAUUACAGGUAAGAUUGGUUAAAACCAAAGUGAAUGCAGCAGGAGCAUUGCCCUAUAGAAUAUUAUGCUCAAAUUAUAUUAUGCAUGACACCAGCAACCAGCAAGACAUGCAAGAUUAAUAACAAGUAACAUUCUGUUAACAAUAGGACAUUUUUGGAAAUUACCUAUCUG
This 211-nucleotide unclassified non-coding RNA is filed under the name Hevea brasiliensis (rubber tree). Lineage: Eukaryota; Viridiplantae; Streptophyta; Magnoliopsida; Malpighiales; Euphorbiaceae. The record is from RNAcentral.